AUGAACGAUAUUUGUCAUAUUGCUGAAUAUGCAUACUUAACUUGCAGCAAGUAUGAUGCCUAUUUAACUUCGAUUGGCCACGGGAAUAACUUAGAGAUUAGUCGCAUUCGCCAUGAGAAAUUUCAUGAGUGGUUUAAGCUCCAUGUGGCACAACUAAUUGCAAAUGGUGAAGAUAUUUCUGAAGAGAUUCAAACUUUAGCUAAUGGGCCCUUCUUAGCUGCAAGGAAGUGUAAUAGCUAUACCAUAGAUGGGUACAAUUUCCACACAAAUUCGUAUGAUGACGGUAGACCUACCCAAAGCAGCGGGGUUGCUCUUGUAUCUCAGAUUUUGUCUUCCACAAGUGAAGAUAAUGAAAAUCUUAUGGUCAGCAAUAAAAUAUAUUAUGGUGUGAUAACUGAAAUCCUUGAGUUAAAUUAUAACAACAAAGGAAGUAUUGUGCUUUUCAAAUGUGAUUGGGUUGACAAUAGUGCACAAGACAAGUGGGUUCAAGUCGAUGAUCUUGGUGUCACACGUGUGAACUUCAAGCAUUUACUCAAGUCUGAUGAACCUUUCAUUUUGGCAUCUCAAGCAACCCAAGUGUACUAUGUGCAAGAUAAGCAUGAUAAAGACUGGUAUUCUGUUAGAAGCUUUCCUCAUCCACGAGACCUGUAUGAUAUGUUUGGAGUGGGAGAUGAAGAUUUUGACCACCAUGAUGCACCUACUGUGUCAAUUGCUGAUCUGGAUGCCAAUGUAGAUCUUAGUGUUGAUGUUAGGAAUAUACCUCGUAGUAGGAUGGAUAUAGAUGGAACACUUGUUCCUGCAGUUCAGCAACCAAAGUGUGUGCCUUUUCCUUUCAUUUUUCAGUUACAUGCUUAUAUACUUGAUAUCCAAUGUGUCAAUUCUAAUGUGCUAUAA
This 894-nucleotide ribosomal RNA is filed under the name Triticum aestivum (bread wheat). RNAcentral describes it as "partial small subunit ribosomal RNA". The record is from RNAcentral. Lineage: Eukaryota; Viridiplantae; Streptophyta; Magnoliopsida; Poales; Poaceae.